AUGUUGAUGGACGAUUACUUCGCAGACAAUCCAACAUAUCCGCCGCACCUCUUCCAGAGAAGGUAUCAAAUGCGUCGAUCCCUCUUUGUAAAAAUAGUGCAAGUUUGCGAGGCUAAUUGUCGCUAUUUUACUCAAAAAAGAAAUGUCGUGGGCUUGAAGGUAUUUAGUGCAUAUCAAAAAAUCUCGGCAACUAUGCCGGUAAUUGCAUACAGCAUUCCGGCUGACUAUGCCGAUGAGUACCUUCGCAUUGUUGAAGAUACUACAAUUAAGUCAGUGACUAUGUUUGUCAAAGUAAUCAUCCAUGUCUUUACUCUUGAAUAUCUUCGGUCACCCAACGAGGAGGACACAAAAAAGUUGAUGGCAUCAAGUAUGAGUAGAGGUUGGCCUGGCAUGCUAGGAAGCAUUCAUUGUAUGCAUUGGACUUGGAAAAGCUGCCCGAGGGCAUGGCAGGGAAUGUAUUGUGGCAAGUCUCGUGAUGCAACAAUUGCGCUAGAGGCCGUACCAUAUGAUGAUUUACGGAUUUAG
This 525-nucleotide ribosomal RNA is filed under the name Triticum aestivum (bread wheat). Its description in RNAcentral is "partial small subunit ribosomal RNA". The record is from RNAcentral. Lineage: Eukaryota; Viridiplantae; Streptophyta; Magnoliopsida; Poales; Poaceae.